This 429-nucleotide ribosomal RNA is filed under the name Gemmatimonadota bacterium. RNAcentral describes it as "Gemmatimonadetes bacterium partial 16S ribosomal RNA". It matches the Rfam family "Bacterial small subunit ribosomal RNA", at positions 355 to 776 of the family's 1533-position model. Lineage: Bacteria; Pseudomonadati; Gemmatimonadota. The record is from RNAcentral.
UAGGGAAUCUUCGGCAAUGGACGAAAGUCUGACCGAGCAACGCCGCGUGAGUGAAGAAGGUUUUCGGAUCGUAAAACUCUGUUGUUAGAGAAGAACAAGGACGUUAGUAACUGAACGUCCCCUGACGGUAUCUAACCAGAAAGCCACGGCUAACUACGUGCCAGCAGCCGCGGUAAUACGUAGGUGGCAAGCGUUGUCCGGAUUUAUUGGGCGUAAAGCGAGCGCAGGCGGUUUCUUAAGUCUGAUGUGAAAGCCCCCGGCUCAACCGGGGAGGGUCAUUGGAAACUGGGAGACUUGAGUGCAGAAGAGGAGAGUGGAAUUCCAUGUGUAGCGGUGAAAUGCGUAGAUAUAUGGAGGAACACCAGUGGCGAAGGCGGCUAUCUGGUCUGUAAAUGACGCUGAGGCUCGAAAGCGUGGGGAGCAAACAGG